UNGUUAUACAGUUAAGUGCUUAAAUGGAA
RNAcentral lists this non-coding RNA (29 nucleotides) under Rattus norvegicus (Norway rat). Lineage: Eukaryota; Metazoa; Chordata; Mammalia; Rodentia; Muridae. The record is from RNAcentral.